GAUGAACGCUAGCGGCAGGCUUAAUACAUGCAAGUCGAGGGGCAGCGCAGUGUAGCAAUACAUGGGCGGCGACCGGCAAACGGGUGCGGAACACGUACGCAACCUUCCUUCAAAUGGGGAGUAGCCACCGAACGGUGGAAUUAAGUGAUCCCGUAAAUUUUAUCGGGUAGGUGCAUGCACCUGAUUAUUAUAGCUCCGGCGUUUGAAGAUGGGCGUGCGCCUGAUUAGGUAGUUGGCGGAGUAACAGCCCACCAAGCCUACGAUCAGUAACUGGUGUGAGAGCACGACCAGUCACACGGGCACUGAGACACGGGCCCGACUCCUACGGGAGGCAGCAGUAAGGAAUAUGGUCAAUGGACGCAAGUCUGAACCAGCCAUGCCGCGUGGAGGAUGAAGGUCCUCUGGAUUGU
Molecule: ribosomal RNA, 410 nt
Filed under: uncultured bacterium
Lineage: Bacteria
Description: bacterial SSU rRNA
Rfam family: Bacterial small subunit ribosomal RNA
Source: RNAcentral